UUCAAAAUGCAAAUUGAAAAAGCUGUCAUUCGCUAGCUCAUGAAGACAAGGAUCACACUGUUUUUAAUAUAGACCAUUGAUUAUAGUGAAUCCAAGGGAUACAAAUUUUAACAUUUUUUUAUUAUCUCAUUGGCUAAGCCGUUAAAGUAGGGAUCAGGUUCUUUCUAAUAUUAACCGUUGAUUACAAUGAAUCUAACGGACCCAAAUUUAACCCUUUUUUUAAUCCUUCCGUCCUCUCAUCUCCUCAGUCGUCGUCUCUUUCAUCCCCUUCUUCCUCUAGAUCGAUUAUCAAAUUAGUUUCAAGCUUCAACCCACGACUCCACGAGAGCUUUUAAUGGGGAUCUAGGCUUCAACCCACGAGAUCUCGGCUAUUUGGGGGAGUCUUGAUUUCGAAAUCCGAGACCUGUUUAUUAAUCUGAUCGAAUUGGAGGAGGAAGAAGGCGAGGUGAUCGAGUUGGCUCCUCCUGUUCCUCAAAGCCGGAGAUGGCUGGGAACUCCUGAACAAGAUGGGAAAAUCUUCUAUUCAACAAGAGAUAAGCAUGGACCUGUAACCUUACAGAUUGGUGAAGGUGCAAAAGAAUGAUUUUGCAGCUUUUAUGAUGGGGAAGAAGACGACAUUGCUUUGUGAUUUUGAGACUGUAUUUUUUUAUUUUUUAAUUAUUGUAUUUUUAUUUUUCAAUGUAGAUUUUUCUUUUAAUAA
This is a long non-coding RNA of Arabidopsis lyrata subsp. lyrata, 700 nucleotides long. RefSeq lists it as uncharacterized. NCBI's taxonomy places the organism in Eukaryota, Viridiplantae, Streptophyta, Magnoliopsida, Brassicales, Brassicaceae. The transcript has 2 exons. The record is from RefSeq and is a predicted model, not a curated record.